This 429-nucleotide ribosomal RNA is filed under the name bacterium. RNAcentral describes it as "partial 16S ribosomal RNA". It matches the Rfam family "Bacterial small subunit ribosomal RNA", at positions 355 to 776 of the family's 1533-position model. The record is from RNAcentral.
UAGGGAAUCUUCGGCAAUGGGGGCAACCCUGACCGAGCAACGCCGCGUGAGUGAAGAAGGUUUUCGGAUCGUAAAGCUCUGUUGUAAGAGAAGAACGUGUGUGAGAGUGGAAAGUUCACACAGUGACGGUAACUUACCAGAAAGGGACGGCUAACUACGUGCCAGCAGCCGCGGUAAUACGUAGGUCCCGAGCGUUGUCCGGAUUUAUUGGGCGUAAAGCGAGCGCAGGCGGUUUAAUAAGUCUGAAGUUAAAGGCAGUGGCUUAACCAUUGUUCGCUUUGGAAACUGUUAAAAUUGAGUGCAGAAGGGGAGAGUGGAAUUCCAUGUGUAGCGGUGAAAUGCGUAGAUAUAUGGAGGAACACCGGUGGCGAAAGCGGCUCUCUGGUCUGUAACUGACGCUGAGGCUCGAAAGCGUGGGGAGCAAACAGG